RNAcentral lists this ribosomal RNA (666 nucleotides) under Neohelicascus uniseptatus. RNAcentral describes it as "eukaryotic LSU rRNA". It matches the Rfam family "Eukaryotic large subunit ribosomal RNA", at positions 247 to 930 of the family's 3401-position model. Lineage: Eukaryota; Fungi; Ascomycota; Dothideomycetes; Pleosporales; Morosphaeriaceae. The record is from RNAcentral.
UAAAGCCCCUUCAACGAGUCGAGUUGUUUGGGAAUGCAGCUCUAAAUGGGAGGUAAAUUUCUUCUAAAGCUAAAUAUUGGCCAGAGACCGAUAGCGCACAAGUAGAGUGAUCGAAAGAUGAAAAGCACUUUGGAAAGAGAGUCAAAAAGCACGUGAAAUUGUUGAAAGGGAAGCGCUUGCCGCCAGACUUGCCUGCAGUUGCUCACCUAGGCGUUCAGCCUGGGGCACUCUUCUGCAGGCAGGCCAGCAUCAGUUUGGGCAGCCGGAUAAAGGUCUCUGACACGUUCCUACCUUUGUGUAGGCCAUAUAGGGGAGACGUCAUGCGGUUAGCCUGGACUGAGGUCCGCGCAUUGCUAGGAUGCUGGCGUAAUGGCUGCAAGCGGCCCGUCUUGAAACACGGACCAAGGAGUCUAACAUCUAUGCGAGUGUUUGGGUGUCAAGCCCGAGCGCGCAAUAAACGUGAACGGAGGUGGGAACCCUCUUUGGGGGUGCACCAUCGACCGAUCCUGAUGUCUUCGGAUGGAUUUGAGUAAGAGCAUAGCUGUUGGGACCCGAAAGAUGGUGAACUAUGCUUGAAUAGGGUGAAGCCAGAGGAAACUCUGGUGGAGGCUCGCAGCGGUUCUGACGUGCAAAUCGAUCGUCAAAUUUGGGCAUAGGGGCGAAAGA